GACGAACGCUGGCGGCGUGCCUAAUACAUGCAAGUCGAACGAGAGCGGCCGGUGCUUGCACUGGUCAAUCUAGUGGCGAACGGGUGAGUAACACGUGGGUAACUUGCCCAUCAGAGGGGGAUAACAUUCGGAAACGGAUGCUAACACCGCAUAGGUCUUCGAACCGCAUGGUUUGAAGAGGAAAAGAGGCGCAGGCUUCUGCUGAUGGAUGGACCCGCGUUGCAUUAGCUAGUUGGAGAGGUAACGGCUCACCAAGGCCGUGAUGCAUAGCCGACCUGAGAGGGUGAUCGGCCACAUUGGAACUGAGACACGGCCCAGACUCCUACGGGAGGCAGCAGUAGGGAAUCUUCCGCAAUGGGCGCAAGUCUGACGGAGCAACGCCGCGUGAGUGAAGAAGGUGUUCGGAUCGUAAAACUCUGUUGUUAGGGAAGAACAAGUGCUAGAGUAACUGUUAGCGCCUUGACGGUAGCUAAACAGAAAGCCACGGCUAACUACGUG
RNAcentral lists this ribosomal RNA (498 nucleotides) under uncultured bacterium. RNAcentral's name for it is "partial 16S ribosomal RNA". It matches the Rfam family "Bacterial small subunit ribosomal RNA", at positions 28 to 507 of the family's 1533-position model. The record is from RNAcentral.